Ribosomal RNA from Erinaceus europaeus (western European hedgehog), 109 nucleotides. The record is from Ensembl. NCBI's taxonomy places the organism in Eukaryota, Metazoa, Chordata, Mammalia, Eulipotyphla, Erinaceidae.
GUCUAUGGCCAUACCACCCUGAACAUGCCUGAUCUGCUCUGAUCUCAGAAGCUAAGCGGGGUUGGGCCUACUUAGUACUUGGAUGGGAGAACUUAAGCCUCCACAAUUA